UCUGAUGUUGAUGCUCUUUUGCUCCAAGGAUCAUCACUGGGAUGGCAGUACCAUUUCCUUGUUGUCUGUGUUUUUCUAACAUAUGAAGAAUUUUUUUUCCUAGUAGAGUUUUACCACUUAUCGUAUGGAACUGUCUGUUUGCCUUUCUGAUUUCAAGAAUUACACAUGAGGAAAUAAUGGCAGAAUUGGAGUGCAGAAGAGAAUUGGUAUAGAUCCUGGUGUGUUUACAAUAAAAGCUUUUACACCAUCAACGAGAGAAGGGGCAAGAAAGCUAACAGAUCAGUGUCUUACCUGCAAAUACAGGGCAGGCAGAUUCGAAAAGGAGAGAAGAGAAACCUGGAGGAUGAGGAGUAUCAGUAUGGAGGAUUUAAAAUUAAGGAACUGUUUGCAACAUGUUGACGUCUCCCUGGAACAAAAACAAUAUGAGAGCCUGCAAUUAUAUUCUGAUUUUUAGAUGAUUGUAUGUAUAAAAAAGUUAAUUUUGAAUGUGCCUAAUUAAAAACUCUGUUAAUGAUACAGUUUGCAACCAAAAUUAAUAACUGUAGUUCAGUGGUAUUAUAAGCUUCUCAGGACUCCACAAUAAAAUUUUCCGAUUAGAAUUUGAGUUAUGGCUUUUUAUAAAUAAGACAAAAAGAAUUGAAGUUCAAAUUUCAGACAACAUAUUAACCCUGCAUAUUUUAUUAUAUUUUCCAUUAAAACAUAGCUCUUUUGCUUUACACAUGCAAAAUUUUAUAUUUGUGCAUUAAUA
This is a long non-coding RNA of Schistocerca gregaria, 748 nucleotides long. RefSeq lists it as uncharacterized. The record is from RefSeq and is a predicted model, not a curated record. NCBI's taxonomy places the organism in Eukaryota, Metazoa, Arthropoda, Insecta, Orthoptera, Acrididae. The transcript has 4 exons.